Mustela putorius furo (domestic ferret) is the source of this 2071-nucleotide long non-coding RNA. The record is from Ensembl. NCBI's taxonomy places the organism in Eukaryota, Metazoa, Chordata, Mammalia, Carnivora, Mustelidae.
GUCAAGAUGAAAAACUUCUUCUAAUGGAAUCCAGCUUGAAAGCUACUCAAGAGCAGCUAACUGAGCAAAUAGCAGAAACAGUUCGCCAAGAACAGAACAGUAGAAAACCCCAGGCAGAGCUGAAGACAGUGACAGAAGGGAUUAUUGCUUCUGAAGAAGAAAAAAAUGAUUACAAGUACAACUUCUUUCUCGUUCAUGGGCAAACUGUUAAAGAUGUAACCUCUUCCCGUUGGCUUUGGCAGGCCUCUACUGCAAGACCCUCUCAAAGGUAAGACUGAUUCCUCACCACCCACUCCCCAGCAACACAAGCAGACUACGUCGUCCAGGCCUGUCAUUCAGGGCAUUUCCUUCAAAGACCUCCGUGACUGCUCAGAGAGGGACUCACCAUCAGAUGGAGCCCGUGACGUGACCAAGACUAUGCCUUCUUCCUACAACACCUGGAACACAAGCAGAGCUGCUGGAGCUGCCGGAGCUGUUGCUGCUGCCACAGAAAUCUUGCUGGGACCCGACACUGCAGAAGCUGUUCUCUUGCGGAGACCAAGAAAGCUUCAGCUCAGCCAUAUGGCUGGAGAGUCCACUCACUCCUGCGGACGCCGGGAUCGCACCUGCUUGCACAACCACGCCGAGUCUGCAUGUUUGUUUCAGGCCUCACUGAGUUAAGUUUGUACUCACUUCCAAUCUAAACAAUAUCAAUACACAUUUUGGGUUCAUAAUAAACACAAGACGAUAAAACGAUCUCUGUUCCCUUGGACUUACAAGGCCAAUAGACUAGUUAGACAUAUAGAUUUUAUCGGAGAAUUAUGAAUAUGGGAAUUGAGUGUGUGUGGUAUGGUUGUAGCUGUGAUAAGUAUGAGAUAUCUCUAACUUAGGUUUCCCCACAUUAGGUAGACCUCUGGGAUCCAAGGCUUUAUCUAUCUGGAGAAUAUAUAUAUAUUGUACAGAGUUCUCUGCAAUACUUGAGAAACAGCAUUCCCAAGGACAGAUAGGUAGGUAAAUUGGAGUGGCAUUUUAAACACACAGGAAAUAGCACACAAAAUCAUGUGGUAGGAAAGAAUGUGAGCAAAAAUCUAGAGAGUCUGUGGGAAAUUAGUGAGUGAAAUUUGAGUGGAAUGAGUCUUCGAAAGCCAGGAUCUUCGAAAGCCAGGAUCAGACUUUUGCUAAUAAUCUUGUGAGCAAACAUUAAAGAAUGAAAAGGGGCUCUGGAAAAGGGACACAUGGGAUGAGAUUUGCUAUUUAAGGAGAUAACUUCUAUUGCAGCGUAGAAAGUGGAGUGGCCAAGAGAGGAGUGGAGGCAAGGCUUUGCUAGAUGACGUGUGGUGGGAGAGGGCCCCGAGAAGAAACCUAGGAUAACAAAACACACAUACGCACAUGCACGGUGAUCAUGGUUUGUGGGAUCGCAGCAGAGGAAAUGCUUAUUUUGCCAUUUUGUCUAAAACAUUAAUGACUUGAAGCCAUAUUCAAACCUUGUUUUGAUUUCACAAGUUUGGGUUUUUUGUCUCUCGUACCGCAAAUGGGAAUGAAUGAAAGCAACUCUAAAAUUUGCUUAAUCCAGAUUUUUUAAAAAAAAAUGUACAAAUAGUUUCAUAAGAAUAUUACUUCAUUUAUUUAACUAUUUUCCACAUUUGCCCAACCCACUUUUAAGUAUAAAUACAACUUGAAAGUGUUCUCAUAAGAUUCACUUCAUGAAAGAGUUUUUAAAACUCAAAGAAAAACCAUCCAUUUACUUACUUGAUUUCUUUCCCUUUCUUUCCUUAAUUUUCUCAAGUGAUAAUUUUAGGUAAUAUCACUGAAUAUUUACUAAAAAUCUAAAAAUCAGUAAUUACAAUUUAGUGAUAAUAUGAAAAGCAAGUGUUCUCAUUUUCAAACUGACACGGGCUGAUUAUUGGUUCAACCAUUUCAUGUCAUACUUUAUCACAUGUAAAAUUAUAAAAAAACACAUUAAAAUGGCAUGAAAGAUAAUUUUUAAAAAUAAAAUUACCAACUCUGUUAUUAUAAAUAUUUUAAGUUUGUAUAUUUCCUUCAGAUACAUAUGUAUAUUUAUUUCUGUGAUUUUAAUAAAAAACAAACGUGC